This 1372-nucleotide ribosomal RNA is filed under the name uncultured bacterium. RNAcentral describes it as "bacterial SSU rRNA". It matches the Rfam family "Bacterial small subunit ribosomal RNA", at positions 28 to 1381 of the family's 1533-position model. The record is from RNAcentral.
GAUGAACGCUGGCGGCGUGCCUAAUACAUGCAAGUCGAGCGAACGGACGAGAAGCUUGCUUCUCUGAUGUUAGCGGCGGACGGGUGAGUAACACGUGGAUAACCUACCUGUAAGACUGGGAUAACUUCGGGAAACCGGAGCUAAUACCGGAUAAUAUUUUGAACCGCAUGGUUCAAAAGUGAAAGACGGUCUUGCUGUCACUUAUAGAUGGAUCCGCGCUGCAUUAGCUAGUUGGUAAGGUAACGGCUUACCAAGGCAACGAUGCAUAGCCGACCUGAGAGGGUGAUCGGCCACACUGGAACUGAGACACGGUCCAGACUCCUACGGGAGGCAGCAGUAGGGAAUCUUCCGCAAUGGGCGAAAGCCUGACGGAGCAACGCCGCGUGAGUGAUGAAGGUCUUCGGAUCGUAAAACUCUGUUAUUAGGGAAGAACAUAUGUGUAAGUAACUGUGCACAUCUUGACGGUACCUAAUCAGAAAGCCACGGCUAACUACGUGCCAGCAGCCGCGGUAAUACGUAGGUGGCAAGCGUUAUCCGGAAUUAUUGGGCGUAAAGCGCGCGUAGGCGGUUUUUUAAGUCUGAUGUGAAAGCCCACGGCUCAACCGUGGAGGGUCAUUGGAAACCGGAAAACUUGAGUGCAGAAGAGGAAAGUGGAAUUCCAUGUGUAGCGGUGAAAUGCGCAGAGAUAUGGAGGAACACCAGUGGCGAAGGCGACUUUCUGGUCUGUAACUGACGCUGAUGUGCGAAAGCGUGGGGAUCAAACAGGAUUAGAUACCCUGGUAGUCCACGCCGUAAACGAUGAGUGCUAAGUGUUAGGGGGUUUCCGCCCCUUAGUGCUGCAGCUAACGCAUUAAGCACUCCGCCUGGGGAGUACGACCGCAAGGUUGAAACUCAAAGGAAUUGACGGGGACCCGCACAAGCGGUGGAGCAUGUGGUUUAAUUCGAAGCAACGCGAAGAACCUUACCAAAUCUUGACAUCCUUUGACAACUCUAGAGAUAGAGCCUUCCCCUUCGGGGGACAAAGUGACAGGUGGUGCAUGGUUGUCGUCAGCUCGUGUCGUGAGAUGUUGGGUUAAGUCCCGCAACGAGCGCAACCCUUAAGCUUAGUUGCCAUCAUUAAGUUGGGCACUCUAAGUUGACUGCCGGUGACAAACCGGAGGAAGGUGGGGAUGACGUCAAAUCAUCAUGCCCCUUAUGAUUUGGGCUACACACGUGCUACAAUGGACAAUACAAAGGGCAGCGAAACCGCGAGGUCAAGCAAAUCCCAUAAAGUUGUUCUCAGUUCGGAUUGUAGUCUGCAACUCGACUACAUGAAGCUGGAAUCGCUAGUAAUCGUAGAUCAGCAUGCUACGGUGAAUACGUUCCCGGGUCU